This 578-nucleotide ribosomal RNA is filed under the name Streptomyces sp. StTD384. Its description in RNAcentral is "bacterial SSU rRNA". It matches the Rfam family "Bacterial small subunit ribosomal RNA", at positions 102 to 694 of the family's 1533-position model. The record is from RNAcentral. Lineage: Bacteria; Bacillati; Actinomycetota; Actinomycetes; Kitasatosporales; Streptomycetaceae.
ACGGGUGAGUAACACGUGGGCAAUCUGCCCUUCACUCUGGGACAAGCCCUGGAAACGGGGUCUAAUACCGGAUAACACUCCUACAGGCAUCUGUGGGGGUUAAAAGCUCCGGCGGUGAAGGAUGAGCCCGCGGCCUAUCAGCUUGUUGGUGAGGUAGUGGCUCACCAAGGCGACGACGGGUAGCCGGCCUGAGAGGGCGACCGGCCACACUGGGACUGAGACACGGCCCAGACUCCUACGGGAGGCAGCAGUGGGGAAUAUUGCACAAUGGGCGAAAGCCUGAUGCAGCGACGCCGCGUGAGGGAUGACGGCCUUCGGGUUGUAAACCUCUUUCAGCAGGGAAGAAGCGAGAGUGACGGUACCUGCAGAAGAAGCGCCGGCUAACUACGUGCCAGCAGCCGCGGUAAUACGUAGGGCGCAAGCGUUGUCCGGAAUUAUUGGGCGUAAAGAGCUCGUAGGCGGCUUGUCACGUCGGGUGUGAAAGCCCGGGGCUUAACCCCGGGUCUGCAUUCGAUACGGGCUAGCUAGAGUGUGGUAGGGGAGAUCGGAAUUCCUGGUGUAGCGGUGAAAUGCGCAGA